Molecule: unclassified non-coding RNA, 275 nt
Filed under: uncultured Chaetothyriales
Lineage: Eukaryota; Fungi; Ascomycota; Eurotiomycetes; Chaetothyriales
Description: sequence contains 5.8S rRNA gene, ITS2, 28S rRNA gene
Source: RNAcentral
AACGCACAUUGCGCCCUUUGGCAUUCCGAAGGGCAUGCCUGUUCGAGCGUCAUUAUCACCCCUCAAGCCUCUCCGGCUUGGUGUUGGACGGUUCGGUUUUGGUGACAAGGCCCCUCCUAAAAUUAAUGACGGCGGCCUGUCUGACCCCCGGUACACUGAGCUUCUUAACUGAGCACGUAUCGGCUAGAGGGUAGGCAGGUCCCGGUCUUCUUCCUUAACCGGAAACUAUUUCUAAGGUUGACCUCGGAUCAGGUAGGGAUACCCGCUGAACUUAA